RNAcentral lists this ribosomal RNA (252 nucleotides) under uncultured bacterium. RNAcentral describes it as "partial 16S ribosomal RNA". It matches the Rfam family "Bacterial small subunit ribosomal RNA", at positions 524 to 775 of the family's 1533-position model. The record is from RNAcentral.
UACGGAGGGUGCGAGCGUUGUCCGGAAUCACUGGGCGUAAAGGGCGCGUAGGUGGCGCGGGCAGUCAACGGUGAAAGUUCGGGGCUCAACCCUGAAUCGGCCGUCGAUACUCCCGUGCUUGAGCACUGUAGAGGCAGAUGGAAUUCCGGGUGUAGCGGUGGAAUGCGUAGAGAUCCGGAAGAACACCGGUGGCGAAGGCGGUCUGCUGGGCAGUUGCUGACACUGAGGCGCGACAGCGUGGGGAGCAAACAG